ACUUUUCAACUGAUCGGGAUCAGAAGCAGCGCAUUUCGGCGAAGCAAAUGUACUGAAUCUUCCACUAGAAGUUGUUCCAAUCAAUGAUCGUUUCUGGUAGCGGAAUAUGUGGGGAAGGAGAGGAGAUGAUCGAAUGCAUUUAAGAGAAGAAGAAGAGGAGGAGGAGAAUGAAAUGGCAAGUCUCGCCGUCGUGGAGGCGGAUAUGGCGGCGAUGGUGGCGGAGGGGAGGAGAUGAGAGGUGGCGCCUGUGAGGGAAGUCAUUGGGUGAAUGCUAGUGACCGAAGAGAG
Molecule: unclassified non-coding RNA, 288 nt
Filed under: Hevea brasiliensis (rubber tree)
Lineage: Eukaryota; Viridiplantae; Streptophyta; Magnoliopsida; Malpighiales; Euphorbiaceae
Source: RNAcentral